RNAcentral lists this long non-coding RNA (1033 nucleotides) under Heterocephalus glaber (naked mole-rat). RNAcentral's name for it is "lncRNA (ENSHGLG00000050666.1)". The record is from RNAcentral. Lineage: Eukaryota; Metazoa; Chordata; Mammalia; Rodentia; Bathyergidae.
CUGCACCAAAGGUGGUCCCUGUGGAACCAUGCCUCCUGGUGUUCCUGCUUUUCAGUGGUCUCUGUGUCAACAGCGGUAGAAGUGACACAGUGUCAGUUCAGGACCUGCCCUUUAAGAGAACUGGCAGCUUCUAAUUCCUUCCUUCUGAAAUGUCAUUCUUUGCAAGCUCUGAAAUGUUGUGUAAAAAUUUGGGCCACCUUGACCAUGAGGAGAGGCUUCAUGGACAGAAAGGAGCUCACCUUUCUCAGCAUUCCAGCUAGCUCACCUACAGCCCAGACUCCUGCGAAAAUUGUCUUGGAAGUUCUAGCCCAGUCAAGCCCUAUAGUUGACUGUAGCCUCGGAUGACAUCACAUGGACCUUCGAGAACUACACAGCUGAUCUCAAUACAACCACAGAAUUUAGAGGCCAAAGGAAAAUUUGAAGAGAAACUUCCAGAACUGUAUUAUUCCCUCCAAAAUAACAGAGGUUCAGAGAAACUGAGUGUAAAGUGCUUCAAAUAUAAUCAAACUAUCUCCAGUUGCUUGGCUUUAAUCUCAUCAUCAUAGUCAUAUCUCAUUACAAAAUGAAGCACACAGACCAGACAUAAAGAAAAUGUUAUUGGCACUCAACUGCAGUUUUUAAAUCCAGAAAUCUUAGACUACUUAUGGGCAUAAUCUUGUUAAUCUUCAUAAUAUGAUGAGGUUUUGGUCACACUGUUGAAUUCCACACCAACAUGGUGGGUAACAGAACUCUUGCUGACAAACCCAUCUCCCAGAUGGCAUUGAGGAUUGAACUAGGAAAAGGCAUGAAAUCAGGCCCUCUCUUCUUCAAGGAAGACCAUGAACCGGAGCUGUGCAGAUGCUGGGAGGGUUUUCCUACUCCUCAUUCUUCAUUUCCUGUGAUCCUCAAAUUGAUUCUCUGCAUGAAAUCCACCAACUGACACAGUAUAUCUCAAGGCCUCUCCUUUUGUCAUCUAUAAUACUCUUGUAUGGACAUGUACCUAUCUUUUAUUCUGUCCAUGUAAGGACAGUUUAACUUACCAAGCUAAUCAGGA